Molecule: long non-coding RNA, 8461 nt
Organism: Hyla sarda
Lineage: Eukaryota; Metazoa; Chordata; Amphibia; Anura; Hylidae
Exons: 3
Source: RefSeq, a predicted model, not a curated record
CCAACCUGGAGACAGAUAGGGAGCGGUUUUUGAAAGAAAUUAUCUCUGUUUUUUGAUUCCUUGAUAACCCCUUUAACUAGUACAUUGAUUCCACAGCUACAGCGGGUGAAAUAAGUAUUGAACUCAUCACCAUUUUUCUUACUAAAUAUAUUUCCAAAGGUGCUGUGGACAUGAACAUUUCAACAGAUGUUGGGAAAAACCCAAGUAAUCCAUACAUAUAUAGAAACCAAAAUAGAUCAUCUAAAAAAUUAAGUUAUGUGUAAUAAUGUGACAUGACACAUGAAAAAAGUAUUGAACAUGCUUACUGAUUAUUAUUAUUUAUGUAAUACUUUGUACAAAAGCCUUUGUUGGUAACGAAAUCUUCAAGCCAUCUCCUGUAUGGAGAAACUAGUUGCAUGCAUUGCUCUGGUGUCAUUUUGGCUCAUUCUUUGGCUCAGUUUUCAAAUCUUGAAGGUUACAUGGGCCUCUUCUAUGAAUCAUGACAUUCAGUUCUUUCCAUAGAAUUUCAAUGGCAUUUAAGUCAGGGGACUAGGUGGGUCAUUCUAGCCGCUUAAUUUUCUUUGUUUCAAACUAUUUGACAGUUUCCUUGGCUGUGUGUUUGGGAUCAUUGUCUUGCUGAAAUGUCCACCGUCAUUUCAUCGAUAUCAUCCAGGUAGAUGGCAGCAGUAUUUGCCCAUUCUUUCUUCCUUCAAUUAUGUGAAGUUUGCCAGUACCAUUUGCUCAAUAGCAGCCCCACAUAUAAUGUUCCCACCUCCAAACUUCACUGUUGCUAUGGUGUUCAUAGUUUGAUGUGCAUGGUGUGUGUUAUGGCAUCCAAACAGUUCACUUUUGCUCUCAUCUGACCACAUUAUAUUCUCCCAGUAUGUCACUUGCUUUUCCAAAUGUUGUGUAGCAUAUAAGCUUCAAUAUGCUUUUUAUUGAGCAAUGGAGUCUUGCGUGGUGAAUGUGCAGACAGGCCAUGGUGGCAGAGUGCAUGACUUACUGUUUUCUUUGGGAACUGCUAAUUACAGGUCUUUUUGAAGUUCCCCGCAAAUGGUCCUUGGCUGUUAGUCUAUUCUUCUGAUUAUUCUUUCCACUUCCGUAUUAUGUUUUUAACAGUGCUCACUGGAAGAUUUGAAAGCUUAGAAAUGUGCUGUCACCAACACCAUUGUUAUGUUUUGCAACAAUUAGGUUGUGAUGGUCUUUAGACAGCUCUUUGCUUUUACCCAUCAUGAGAUGUCUCUUGUUGGACACCUUGGGAAUUCAACAUUUUUUAGGGCAUCAGUCUGGAUUAAUUUGCACUGAAAAGGGUCUGGAUUGCUUUAUAAUUACCAAUAUAUUUCAGCUGUUGUCUUGGCUUUUCAUGACUUUUUGUACCUCUCUUCCUUCAUGUGUUCAAUACUUAUUUCACCAUUUUUUUAUAUGCCCUUCACUAACAUUUAGAUAGCUUAUAACCUUGCAUAUGGUAUCUACGAUGAACUAGUUAUAAUGUCUUGUUUUUCACUGAUUUCAGGCAUGGUAAGAAGACUUUGUUUUGUUCCUGUAAAUGUCAAACAUGCCAUUAACAACCAAGCUUUGCCUGAAUUUUAUGUUUUGUAUAACCUAAAUGUAUUUAAAUGCCUCCUUCUCUCUCUCAGGCAGCAAAUCAUUCUUUGCCCUCUUGGCUGGAAUUUUAAACUGCCAAUAUUCAUCACAAUUUCCAUGUCCGCUCCCUGUGUGGGUGAGAUGUAAGUGUUGUAAAAAUGUAAAGAUACUAAAUAAACAACCCAUUUAUAAAGCCUGCAAGAUGUCCAAUCGGGAAUGGUACUUAGGCUUGGAACAGAGGUUUAUUGAUGGUUAGACCGGCUUCUUUCUGACAGUGAUUGGCAGUAAGUAUGAAUAUUGUAAUGAUGGUGCAGCACAUAAAAUAGUUGACUGCAUCGGCAUUUUAUUAGCUCCUGGCUAUUUUCAGUUUUUUUUUUUUUUUGGUUGUCAAUAAAAAGUACCAGAGGCUUUUACAAUGGUUUUUAAGCUUGGUACAUGUAAAGCAUUGAAUAUUUUGGAUAUUUUUGUUUACAGUGAAGCUUCAUUGGAAAAUUUUGAAGGAAUGCCAGCAGGAAAUCUGAUAAAUAUUAAUUCCAUAAUAUAAUAUUAUUAACUGAAAUGUCUCUUUAGCACUAUUAUUACUGUAUUAAAAAUAAAUAGGUGUCUGGCAAGUGUCUAUAUACCACCACCAAGGAAAUGAAGAAUUAGACAGUUUACUUUGAAUAUGGACAUGCUGGAUCCUCCAAAAUAAGGUUCUGUUUACAUUAUAUUUUGGGUAUACAUCAGUGGUAAAGGUUGAGAAUUUUCAAUACCAUAUAUAAACUCACCGGUAUUUAUAUACAGUAUAUUAACUAUUUAUUAUCACAGGUGGACUAUAUUUUAUUGCAUUUUAUCUCUAUCCUUACAUGUCUAUCUGGGAAGCCACAAGGGCCCUUUGAUCUGCCUGUCGUUAUCCUUGUGAUAAUAUAAAUAAAUAUUAUAUUUAUAUUUUAACAACAGAUGGAACUAUUCUUAUUUAUAUUCUAACUGUAGAUGGAACAUUGACUAUCAUUGUUUACCCCUAUCAUUAAUGAGAUGUAAUUGCCAUAGCUAGGAAUACCUUGAGGACUAUACCUUUCUUUUCAGCAUAUCUAUGUUUUUGCCUAUCCAGUUGUUGAUGCAAUUCUUAGUUAGGGUGCAUUAACACUACGAUUUGAAUUCCAUUCAUUUAAAUGAGCCGGCUGGAGGCAGACCACAGUUUUCUGUCCAGCAACAAAACCAUAUACGGUGCAAAAAUGAGCAGACUGGAGUCACUAUCUGACUCCAGCCGGCUCAUUUAAAUAAAUGGGAUGCUGCGCAGGUUUGGCAGGGAUACGACAGCAGACGUUUUUUUAAAUUUUCCCCGUUGUGUGAAUAUAGCCUUACUUCUGUAUAUCCUGGCUUUUAAUUGUGAGUUGCACAAAAAAUAAAGGAAGAACUUAAACAACACAAUGUAACUCCAAGUCAAUCACACUUCUGUGAAAUCACUGUCCACUCAGGAAGCAUCUCUGACUGACAAUCAAUUUCACAUGCUGUUGUGCAAAUGAAACAGACAACAGGUGGAAAUUAUAGGCAAUUAGCAAGACACCCAUAACAAAGGAGUGGUUUUGCAGAUGCUGACUACAGACCACUUCUCAGUUCCUAUGCUUCCUGGCUGAUGUUUGGAUCACUUUUGAAUGCUGGCAGUGCUUUCACUCUAGUGGAAGCAUGAGACGGAGUCCUCAACCCACACAAGUUGCUCAGGUAGUGCAGCUCAUCCAGGAUGGUGCAUCAAUGCGAGCUGUAGCAAGAAGGUUUGCUGUGUCUUUCAGUGUAGUGUCCAGAGCAUGAAGGCGCCAUUAGGAGACAGGCCAGUACAUCAGGAGACAUGGAGGAGGCUGUAGGAGGGCAACAACCAAGCAGCAGGACCGCUACCUCCGCCUUUGUGCAAGGAGGAGCAGGAGGAGCACUGCCAGAGCCCUGCAAACUGACCUCCAACAGGCCACAAAUGUGCAUGUGUCCACUCAAACGGUCAGAAACAGACUCCAUGGUAUGAGGGUCGGACGUCCAAAGGUGGCGGUUGUGCUUACGGCACCAACACCGUGCAGGAUGUUUGGCAUUUGCCAGAGAAAACCAAGAUUGGCAAAUUCGCCACUGGCUCCCUGCGUUCUCCACUGGAGAUGCCGUGGAGAACGUUCUGCUGCCUGCAACAUCCUCCAGCAUGACCGGUUUGGCGGUGGGUCAGUAAUGGUGUGAGGUGGCAUUUCUUUGGGGGGCCACAUAGCCCUCCAUAUGCUUGAGGUAGCCUGGCUGCCAUUAGGUACUGAGAUGAGAUCCUCAGACCCCUUGUGAGACCAUAUGGGGGUGCGGUUGGCCCUGGGUUACUCCUAAUGCAAGACAAUACUAGACCUCAUGUGGCUGGAGUGUGUCAGCAGUUGAUGCUAUGGACUGGCCCGCCCGUUCCCCAGACCUGAAUCCGAUUGAGCACAUCUGCAAAAUCAUGUCUCACUCCAUCCACCAACGCCACCACAGACUGUCCAGGAGUUGGUGGAUGCUUUAGUCCAGGUCUGGGAGGACAUCCCUCAGGAGAUCAUCCGCUAACUCAUCAGGAGCAUGCCCAGGCAUUGUAGGGAGGACAUAUGGGCACAUGGAGGCCACACACACUACUGAGCCUCAUUUUGACUUGUUUUAAGGACAUUACAUCAAAGUUGGAUGAGCCUGUAGUGUGGCUUUCCACUUUAAUUUUGAGUGAGACUCCAUGGGUUGAUAAAUUUGAAUUCCAUUGAUAAUUUUUGUGUGAUUUUGUUGUCAGCACAUUCAACUGUGUAAAGACAAAAGUAUUUCAUAUGAUUAGUUCAUUCAUUCAGAUCUAGGAUGUGUUGUCUUAGUGUUCCCUUUAUUUUUUUGAGCAUUGUAUGUUUAAGAUAUGCCAUGUAGUAGGUUUUCUUGUCGUAGAAAAAUAUAGUUUACAACUACUUACCAGAUACCACCACAACGUUCUGAGAACAUUUUUUUCUGAAAGAUCAUUCAUGGUUGAAAGUUUUAAAAACAACCAUCUUCUUCCCAGAUGAUCACAGUCUAUCUCUGGCCAGCUAAAACUAUAAUUUAUUGUAGAAUUUUACCAAACCAAUAAUUAUUUUUUUUUGGUUGAGAUCAUUUUCAUAAACUUUAGCUGCUCUCUGCUCUGUCUAACAGAUGAGAAAAUGAAUCCACAUGGAUUUGAGAAAAACUGUCUUUUUCCUGGCACUCCCAAAAUAUUUGUAACAAUUUAAAAGUUCUCGCAUUUUUUUAAUGAAAAAAUAUCUUAACUUCAAAAAUAUGCAUUAUUAGUAUCGCUGUAUGUGAAAUGUUAUAUUAAAAUACAACAUUAUUAAUCCUGCACAGGGAAGACUUACUAUAAGAAAAAUGUCAAAUUGCAGAUAUUUGGUCACCUUUCUUCCCAAAAUGCAUGGAAUAAAAAGUGAAACAAAGUUUGAACUACCCAAAAUGGUGCCCUCACUCAGCUCUGUAGAGAGAAAAAUAACAACCCGUUCCUGACCUGUGAUGUACAUGAAAGUCAAAAGUAAAAAAAAAAAAUUCUCCCCUAAUAAAAGAGCCAGGACCAAGACAGGGGUGUUGUUGACCUCAAUAUUGUGGAAAACGUCAUGUGUUGUCCAAAGCCUGACGGCCAGGGUCAAAACCGGCUUGAUCGGAAUGGAUCAAGCUCGGAAGUAUUUUAGCAAUUCUGGUAGCUAUCAAUUUAGCAAAAAUCUUCAGGUCUUGAUUCAACAGCGAAAUCGGCCUUUCAUUUUGAGGAGCCAUCAGUGAUUUACCCGGCUUAAAAAUCAAAGCCUGAAGAUUCUCUUUAGGAAAGGCCCCCUUGAGAACAGCCGAGUUAUAAAAAUUCGGGUAACAAAACAUCCAAAUAAGUUUGAUAAUAAAGGCUGAUAAACCUAUCAGGGCCAGGGGCUUUCUGUGAAGGGAUAGAGCGGAUCACUUUCUUUAUCUUGUCAGGGGUAAUGGUAGUAUUUAAGGAUGCAAGUUCGUCUUCACUGAGGUGAAGAAGGUUAAGAGUGGAGAGGAAAGAUGAGAUGGAGGAAGGGAGGUCAGGACGGUCAGGGAUAGAAUGAUCUAAGUUGUAGAGAGAGGAGUACAAAGCUUGAAAGCCAUUAGCAAGUCUUCAGGGGUGUAAAGAGUAGUGCCAGAAGGGGGAUGAACAAGAUGGGCAACACAGGAUCGGCAUGAGUAAUUUUCCAGCGGUUUGCCAGAAGGGCACCUGCCUUAUCAUUUUGAGAAGAAUAUUGUGCCUUAACAUGCCUAAGGUUUUCCUCAUAAGUGAAUAGUAUUAGCUUCCUAAGUUCCUGUCAGACAGACAACAGCUGGGCAGAAGUUGCCGGAGAAGCAGUGGUUUUAUUAAGUGUCUCCAGAUUGCGUAUCUGUGAAUUGUUUGUCCCUUUGUCAUUUACAGAAGGCACCAUAUUUAAUUGAAAAAGCCCCUCAUAUAAGCCUUGUGACAGUUCCAUGCAAUCAUUGGGUCUACAUCAGAGGAGGCAUUGGUUUGGAAAUAUUGAGAGAGGUCCGUACGAAGAGACUGGGCAUGCUUCAGAUGAGAAAUCAGAAAAGGGCUAGCUCUCCAUAGAUAAGCAGGAGUUGGAGGAAAGUUCUCCUGUAAGGAGAGAGUGAUAGCCGCAUGCUCCAACCAUUUGAUUGUUUUUAUAGUAGAGUCAGCUAGGACAUCUAGAUAGACACGUUCAAACCAAAAAUAUGUUCAGUCUCAAGUACGUGUUGUGAGUGACGGAAUGGUGGGUAUAAUCCCUCUCAUUGGAAUCCAUUAUGCGCCAUACAUCAUACAAUUCAGCAGACCACAUUAAUUGACUGAGUGAGGUCGAAGGGGUGCAUUGUGAAGUAUUGGUAUCUAGGGUAGAGUCCAAUACUAAAUUAAAGUCCCCACAAACUAUCAUAGGGCCUGCUUUAUGUUGGGAGGCUAUUUUGAGAGCACAGCGUAAAAAACGCACUUGCCGCGGUUAGGUGCAUAAAAGGAUAAAAUGGUAUAAGGUGCAUUAUUGAUAGAGCACAUUAGGAGAACAAAACGAACACCACGAUCGGAGAUACCAUUAGUUACUGAAAAAGCUACAGUUUUCCUAAUUGCUAUUAAAACCCCUCUUGACUUGGAGGAAAAGUAGGACUGAAACAUGUGGGGAUAAGCUUGGAGUUUGACACAGUGUGCAUCAGUGCGAAGUGUGUCUCCUGAGCACAAAUUAUGUCACCCCUAAAGAAAGGGCUUCUGUCCAGAAAAAGGCUCUGUUGUGUGGACUGUUAAGACCGUUCACAUUUAGGCUAAUGAGUUUGAUAACCAUAAGAACAAUUCCAGGAAUUAUAUAAUACAGCUAGAUUUCAGGAAAAAGGGGGACCCAGUGUGCCUCCCAGCCAGCAUGCAUGGGUCACAAUAGUAUGGGCAACGCAUGUAAGACAUGAAAUAUGUCCACCAAUAAUAUUGUAGAACAUUACAAACAUUAUAAAACAAACAGUCAUCAACAAAAGAGAAGUGUUGAAGAAAAAAGAUUAGAAACCAUGGCAAAAGCCAGUAAGCACAGGUAGGGCGAAUGUUCAUGCCGAAGCCAAAGACUGGUAGAACACAUCAGCUCAGGUGUAGACAGAGAGCACAAAAAAGCACAAAAGUCACCUUACAGUAGACCAGUCAUCUCGGAAUUUGUGGGCUGGGGCUGGUUGAGAAUCUCGAGGAAGCUCUAGCGGGAUGUUCCAGCGGUGUAGCAGGUCUUGCCCUUCUUCCAGGGACCAAACAACCGAUAUUUGGUUGUCCCUGCGGAUGAGAAGAUGGACUGGGAAGCCCCAUCUGUACUGUACUUACGAAGAGCACUGGUCACAGGUUGGAGAUUUCUGCACAGUUGCAGCGUGGCAGCAGAGAGGUCUGCAUACAGGGACAAUUGAUGAUAGGGAGCAGGUAAGCCAUCAUUUUUGCGUGGCAGUUCCAUGAGGCGCUCUUUAGUAGAAAAGAAAUGAAUCCGUGCUAGAACGUCUAGAUGUUGGGGUCUGGGGACAUGGUCCACUUCCAGUUCUUGAGGUGAGCAAGAGGGUAGGACGGUUUCUAGAAGCGUGCGCACAUAUUGCAUUAUGUCUGCUGGAGGGACCGAUUCAGAGAUCCCCCUGAUUUUCACAUUAUUUUGGCAACUGGGGUCUUCUAGGUCUGCGACCUUAGCAUUUAGAGUUGCGAUGUCAUCUUCAGCUGUAUUUUGCAGAUCAAUUUAGGCAUUAUGGGAGUCUACAAAUUCUCCAUGCUUGCUUUCAAUAUGUUGAACUUUACCCCCGAGCUCAUCCACAGCAGUGGUAAUAGGAGAGAUCAUGGUGUUAAUGUCCUUCCUAAAGGAACGCUGAAGAACCAGUAACAUGUCUCUAAUUGCGGUGUCUGUAAGAGAUUUAUCAUAGACAGACAGUGACCCCAAGCCCUCAUUAUAUUCUAGGGACUGGGUUGUCAACCUGGGGUACGCAUACCCCUAGGGGUAUGCCAGGGGCUGUCAGAGGGUACGCGAAAGCGCUGUCAAAUACCGGCCAUGCAUUGGCCAAUAUUUGACAGCGCACUGUGAGUGAGCUGCGUGGUUGCCGGGUAGACGUGUGACCUCCCCUGGCGUUGUGCGGACUUGCCGCACAGUGCAGGAGGACGUCACACGUCAGUGCGGCCCCAACGAACGGGGCACGCUGCAUCUAAGGUCAGGCCACAGGGGACCACAGGACACCAGCCUUACAGGUCAUUUUCUCUGAUGAAUGAAACCAGAACAAGGCCAUUUUUCAGCACCGGAACAGCAGAUGGCAGAAGAAAUUGCCCAGAAAUAAAGGACUAUAUCUAAAGCGAUACCCGUGACCCUGUCGUGAGAUAAGAAAUAAAGAAGAAGAGCAUCGCAAAGGAAAAGAGAAAAGGGAGAAAAGGAAAAAAGGAAGGUGAAGAAAAGAGAAAAAAAAGGAGAGA